CGGCCGCUCCGAGCGGCCUUCCCCCGCCGACUUCCUGCACAUCGAUACUUUCGCAACGCCCGCCUGGCAAACACGCCGAGACCCGCUGGGGGUCGGCAGGGACAGAGGGGGCGCGGCUGCCCGGCUCCACGAUACCCCGGCACCGGGGGACGCGCCCCGGGGCCCCGGCCCCCCGCACCCCGCCAAGCCCCUUCCCCUCCUUCCUUCCUUCCCUUCCCUUCCCGCGGCUGCCCGCCGGCCGCAGCCCCGGGGAAGGCCAAAGCGAAGGCGCGGCGGCGGCCCCGCGGGACGGCCCCGGGCUGUGCGCAGCCGGCCCCGGCCGCACUUACAGAUCUUGCCCCGGAGGUUCUGCAGCACCCGCACCUCGUCGCCGCCGCCGUCCUGGGCCGCCAUCGCGCCAGCGCCGCCGCCUGCGCAGUGCGCGGCGGGGGAGGGGAAGGAGAGAAGGGAGGAGAGGGAGGGGAGGGGAAGGGAGGGAAGGGAAGGGAAGGAGGGAGCGGCCCCGCCGCACGCCCCCGGGCCGCUCCGCCCCGCUGGGGGCCGCCGCCACCGCCCUCGGGGGGCAGCCCGGCACCGGCACCUGGCGGGGGCCGUAGCCGUGAGGGGCGCGGGCCGCCCGCGCUAACGGCCGGGCACGGGGCGAGGCCGAGCCCCCGGGGGAGCGGCUGUGGGAGCCGCGGGGAGCCCGGCCCGGCCCGGCCCUGCCCGCACCGCGAGCCCCGGCCCCCCGGGCGUGCCGGCGAAGUACAAAUAAAGCGCGUUUGCCUUGCCCUCGCGGGGAACGGAAAGGGCUUUUCGUCACGCUUUCGCUGGGAUUUCCUGAGGAGGGAUCCUAACGAGAAGCUCCGGGACCCGGCUGAGGGCUGGGACGAGCCCCGGUGGCGGUGGUGGGCGGCUUCGCCCCGGCCCCGCGGCCGCCCAGCCGCCAGGAGCGGCCCCAGCCCGGUGCAGCUCGGGGCGCUGCAGGUGCCGCAGCCUCCGGGCCCUGUGGGCGCGAGUCCUGGUGCAGCCCCGUAG
RNAcentral lists this long non-coding RNA (1017 nucleotides) under Anas platyrhynchos platyrhynchos (common mallard). RNAcentral describes it as "lncRNA (ENSAPLG00000024485.1)". The record is from RNAcentral. Lineage: Eukaryota; Metazoa; Chordata; Aves; Anseriformes; Anatidae.